UACGGAGGGAGCUAGCGUUGUUCGGAAUUACUGGGCGUAAAGCGCACGUAGGCGGCUUUGUAAGUUAGAGGUGAAAGCCUGGAGCUCAACUCCAGAAUUGCCUUUAAGACUGCAUCGCUUGAAUCCAGGAGAGGUGAGUGGAAUUCCGAGUGUAGAGGUGAAAUUCGUAGAUAUUCGGAAGAACACCAGUGGCGAAGGCGACUUACUGGACACAUAUUGACGCUGAGGUGCGAAAGCGUGGGGAGCAAACAGG
Molecule: ribosomal RNA, 253 nt
Filed under: uncultured bacterium
Lineage: Bacteria
Description: partial 16S ribosomal RNA
Rfam family: Bacterial small subunit ribosomal RNA
Source: RNAcentral